UCCUAUAAAUUACAUCGACUAGAUGACAUUAAGGAGAUUAGUGUCACUUAGCAGGUACAAGUUUCAUUUUCUUUUAGUAACUAUAAAGACAAGAUAUUAUGUGAUGUUGUCCCUAUGCAAACAGGACACUUAUUAUUAGGGAGACUGUAGCAGUAUUAUGGGAAUGUUAAUCAUAAUAGUGGGAAGAAUCAUCAUUCCGUGACUAUGAGAGAUCUCACAUAUGUCCUAACUCUAUUAUCAAGGAGAGAAACAUACUCGGAUUAACUCAAAAUUAAGAAGUUUUAUGAUAAGUUCGCAGGGCGAACAACAGAUAC
This 314-nucleotide long non-coding RNA is filed under the name Carica papaya (papaya). RNAcentral's name for it is "long non-coding RNA (CPAP_LNC009564)". Lineage: Eukaryota; Viridiplantae; Streptophyta; Magnoliopsida; Brassicales; Caricaceae. The record is from RNAcentral.